CUGACAACUGUGAGGCCUGAAGUAAUUUAUUUAUCUCCAAACAAUAUAAAGUAUAGACUGCCACAGCGCAAGUUUUCUUCACACUGCCCUGCCAAUGAAUUUCAACCUUGCCUGGUGGGACUACCUCUGGGGGUGAGAGAGUAGUUCAGUUUUCCUGAGUAUUCAUUCUUUGGCUUCU
Chelonoidis abingdonii (Abingdon island giant tortoise) is the source of this 178-nucleotide unclassified non-coding RNA. NCBI's taxonomy places the organism in Eukaryota, Metazoa, Chordata, Testudines, Testudinidae. The record is from Ensembl.